CGAACGCUGGCGGCGUGCUUAACACAUGCAAGUCGAACGGAAAGGCCCUGCUUUUGUGGGGUGCUCGAGUGGCGAACGGGUGAGUAACACGUGAGUAACCUGCCCUUGACUUUGGGAUAACUUCAGGAAACUGGGGCUAAUACCGGAUAGGAGCUCCUGCUGCAUGGUGGGGGUUGGAAAGUUUCGGCGGUAGGGGAUGGACUCGCGGCUUAUCAGCUUGUUGGUGGGGUAGUGGCUUACCAAGGCUUUGACGGGUAGCCGGCCUGAGAGGGUGACCGGCCACAUUGGGACUGAGAUACGGCCCAGACUCCUACGGGAGGCAGCAGUGGGGAAUAUUGCACAAUGGGCGGAAGCCUGAUGCAGCAACGCCGCGUGCGGGAUGACGGCCUUCGGGUUGUAAACCGCUUUCGCCUGUGACGAAGCGUGAGUGACGGUAAUGGGUAAAGAAGCACCGGCUAACUACGUGCCAGCAGCCGCGGUGAUACGUAGGGUGCGAGCGUUGUCCGGAUUUAUUGGGCGUAAAGGGCUCGUAGGUGGUUGAUCGCGUCGGAAGUGUAAUCUUGGGGCUUAACCCUGAGCGUGCUUUCGAUACGGGUUGACUUGAGGAAGGUAGGGGAGAAUGGAAUUCCUGGUGGAGCGGUGGAAUGCGCAGAUAUCAGGAGGAACACCAGUGGCGAAGGCGGUUCUCUGGGCCUUUCCUGACGCUGAGGAGCGAAAGCGUGGGGAGCGAACAGGCCUUAGAUCCCCUGGUAGUCCACGCUGUAAACGGUGGGUACUAGGUGUGGGGUCCAUUCCCACGGGUUCCGUGCCGUAGCUAACGCUUUAAGUACCCCGCCUGGGGAGUACGGCCGCAAGGCUAAAACUCAAAGGAAUUGACGGGGCCCCGCACAAGCGGCGGAGCAUGCGGAUUAAUUCGAUGCAACGCGUAGAACCUUACCUGGGUUUGACAUGGAUCGGGAGUGCUCAGAGAUGGGUGUGCCUCUUUUGGGGUCGGUUCACAGGUGGUGCAUGGCUGUCGUCAGCUCGUGUCGUGAGAUGUUGGGUUAAGUCCCGCAACGAGCGCAACCCUUGUUCACUGUUGCCAGCACGUUAUGGUGGGGACUCAGUGGAGACCGCCGGGGUCAACUCGGAGGAAGGUGGGGAUGACGUCAAGUCAUCAUGCCCCUUAUGUCCAGGGCUUCACGCAUGCUACAAUGGCUGGUACAGAGAGUGGCGAGCCUGUGAGGGUGAGCGAAUCUCGGAAAGCCGGUCUCAGUUCGGAUUGGGGUCUGCAACUCGACCUCAUGAAGUCGGAGUCGCUAGUAAUCGCAGAUCAGCAACGCUGCGGUGAAUACGUUCCCGGG
This 1343-nucleotide ribosomal RNA is filed under the name uncultured bacterium. RNAcentral's name for it is "16S ribosomal RNA". It matches the Rfam family "Bacterial small subunit ribosomal RNA", at positions 30 to 1378 of the family's 1533-position model. The record is from RNAcentral.